This 468-nucleotide ribosomal RNA is filed under the name uncultured bacterium. Its description in RNAcentral is "partial 16S ribosomal RNA". It matches the Rfam family "Bacterial small subunit ribosomal RNA", at positions 28 to 507 of the family's 1533-position model. The record is from RNAcentral.
GACGAACGCUGGCGGCGUGCUUAACACAUGCAAGUCGAACGGAAAGGCCCUGCUUUUGUGGGGUGCUCGAGUGGCGAACGGGUGAGUAACACGUGAGUAACCUGCCCUUGACUUUGGGAUAACUUCAGGAAACUGGGGCUAAUACCGGAUAGGAGCUCCUGCUGCAUGGUGGGGGUUGGAAAGUUUCGGCGGUUGGGGAUGGACUCGCGGCUUAUCAGCUUGUUGGUGGGGUAGUGGCUUACCAAGGCUUUGACGGGUAGCCGGCCUGAGAGGGUGACCGGCCACAUUGGGACUGAGGUACGGCCCAGACUGCUACGGGAGACAGCAGUGGGGAAUAUUGCACAAUGGGCGGAAGCCUGAUGCAGCAACGCCGCGUGCGGGAUGACGGCCUUCGGGUUGUAAACCGCUUUCGCCUGUGACGAAGCGUGAGUGACGGUAAUGGGUAAAGAAGCACCGGCUAACUACGUG